UGGGAACCUCCAUAUGCCGUGGGAGCGGCCCAAGAAAUAGCAAAAAGACCAAAAAAAAAUUGAUUUAUCCAAGUAGUUCCUAUUUUGAUUUCUUAGAUGUGAGGGGCUGGAUGUGGAUAUAAUAGGUAUAAUAAGUUAUUUGUUUAACGAAGUUUUUAUUGGGCAGCUACUGCGUGCUUUCUCAGUGCUGGAAAGAGAAAGUAUAAUUUUUGUCCUCAAGGAGCAGACAUGCCCAUCGGAGAAUCACUGGCUUUUUUUUUUUUUCUUUCACAGCAUAUGGAGGUUCCCAGCUUAGGGGUCGAGUCAGAGCUGUAGCCACUGGCCUAUGACACAACCAUAGCAACAUGGGAUCCGAGCCAUGUCUGCAAACUGCACCACAGCUCACAGCAAAGCUGGAUCCCUGACCCACUGAACAAGGCCAGGGAUGGAACUUACAUCCUCAUGGUUUUAGUCAGAUUCGUUUCCACUGUGCUACGAAGGGAAUGCCCGAGAAUCACUGGCUUUUAUUCAUUCAGCAUCUUGAAGUGCCAAGCACCAUGUGAGUGACAAAUUGCCUCUUUGUAUUUAUUUGUGGACAGGGAAGUGAGUACAGAGUGGGGCCCUUAGUCCAGCCUGAGAUGUGGGGUGCAGCAAGGGUGGGGCUCCCUAGGGGCGGGGACAGAGUGGGUUUGGAGUGGAGGUGCUCUGGGAGGAAGGAAGAGGGCACAGACCCUCAGAGACCCACUGAAAACCCUUCAGAGGCCUCAGCCCCUGGAAGGGGAGGGCGGAGGAAGUCCGUUCCGGGCCAGGGGAGCUGGUGUCUCCCAUGGGAUCAGGGGCCCAGAACGUGAGUCUCUUUGGAAAAAAUUUAAGAUGUACAAGUGCAGGGCUUUCCUGAGGACAUUCUGCAGGACACAGGUGCUUGGAUGUUACUCAACUCCACAUGGUAAAGUGGUCUUGAAAGAAAGUGCAUCCAAGUGUGGGCUCAGGGCUGGGAGGCCCUUCCAGCAGGCAGGGGGCCAGGUGUUCCGAGAGAGGGUUUGGCCCUUUGGCAGCCUUUGGGGUAGUGGCCCGAUGGGUAAAAGUCGGUGUGUGUGGGAGCUGAGGGGGUGGGCCUUUGGCGUAAGCUACCCUGAGGCUCCUGGAAGGGGAGAGGAAGCAGUGAGGAGAACCCCCAACUCCUGCCUGACCUCUGGGAGCCGGGCCACAACCUUUCUCUCAGAUGUGUCCCAGGCCCCUGCCCUGUCCCCGCAGCUGCCAGGCAUCAUCCUGAGGUGUAACCGAGGGUGGGCAUCAGGUCGGUCCACUAGCCUGUAAACUGCCUUCACCUGCCACGCUCGUUUUGUUUCUCUAAAAACCUGUGUUGGGUACGUAGCAAACAAUCACUUUUGCCUGAGCUGUGCCUUCAGGAACUUGGCAUCAGCUGUGUUCUGUUCAAGCUGAGCUGAUGGAGUGUUUGGGACAACUGAGCACAGGGCAGGCUUGGGUGCCCACGGGCAGAAAGCCAAACCCAACAGUGGGGUUCGUGGCAAAGUAAGGGUGUUAUUUGCAGGGCGCCAGGCAAAGGAGUCAGUGGCAAGCGUUGGACCGACUCCCACAUGGUUUCAGACUUAGUAGGUUUAAUUUUUUUGGCCAUGUCCACAGCGUGUGGAAGUUCUCAGGCCAGGGAUCAAACCUGCACCACAGCAGUGGCAAUGCUGAAUCCUUGAUUGCUAGGGCAGCAGGGGAUUCCGACUUAGUGGUUUAUAAAGGGGCAGAACAGAGGAGCCAGGGUUAAUCCCUGAGGCUGGGGGUCUAUGUCUACAGUCUGUUAAGGCCACCCUGCCCUGGGAGAUAACUCACAACAGCUGACAUGAUAUUUACCACAAAGCCAUGGCUCAGGGCACCUGACCUUCACUAUUCCUUAUUGAUUUAGGCAAAUAUGAUCCAACAGGUGGAGCUAGGACAGAAGGGGACCAGAGAGGAACAGCCUCAGCUUCAUCCCAUAAAUCCCCCAGCCCUGGCCUUGGGUUGGCAGCUUCGCUCUGGAAUGAAGCGUUCUUCUCAUCGCAGCGUACAGCCUGAUGACGAUUCUGCCUCUGCUCUGUCCCCAGCCUUUUCUCAACUCUGCAGCCACAGCACUUGAACUAACUUGUGAAGUGCCUGCUGCGUCCUUUUUCUGGAAUCUGCACCACGAGGCUUCCUGUCACCAGCACAGCUGAGGGUGGCACACAGUAGGUGACUGUUUUCAGUUAACAGAUGUGUGGGCCUUUUGUUUUUGCUUUUUUCUGGGGUCCGCCCUUGCAACAUACGGAGGUUCCCAGGCUAGGGCUCAAAUUGGAGCUACAGCUGCCAGCCUACACCACAGCCACAGCA
Sus scrofa (pig) is the source of this 2334-nucleotide non-coding RNA. The record is from RefSeq and is a predicted model, not a curated record. NCBI's taxonomy places the organism in Eukaryota, Metazoa, Chordata, Mammalia, Artiodactyla, Suidae.